RNAcentral lists this ribosomal RNA (551 nucleotides) under uncultured marine eukaryote. RNAcentral describes it as "bacterial SSU rRNA". It matches the Rfam family "Eukaryotic small subunit ribosomal RNA", at positions 617 to 1179 of the family's 1831-position model. The record is from RNAcentral.
GGUUAAAAAGCUCGUAGUUGGACUUGUGCGAAGGGUUCUUGGUCCGCCUUUUGGGUGAGUACUUUAGAAUAUCCGUCGUUUCUCUGGAGAACGUAUUGCUUAUGUGGUACGGUAUCCGGAGCAUUUACUUUGAGGAAAUUAGAGUGUUCACGCAGGCUUUUGCCCUGAAUAUGUUAGCAUGGAAUAAUGCGAAAAGGCCUCGGAUUUUCUUGUUGGUUUCAAAACCCGAGGUGAUGAUUAAAAUGAGCUGUUGGGGGCAUCUGUAUUUAACUGUCAGAGGUGAAAUUCUUGGAUUUGUUAAGGAUAGACUAGUGCGAAAGCAUUUGCCAAAGAUGUUUUUCUUGAUCAAGAACGAAAGUUGGGGGAUCGAAGGCGAUCAGAUACCGCCGUAGUCUCACUUACUAUAAACUAUGUCGCCUAGAGAUUGGCAGCAGUCAUCUCCUUGUCGUUGUCAGCACCUUAUGAGAAAUCAAAGUUUUUGGGUUCCGGGGGGAGUAUGGUCGCAAGUCUGAAACUUAAAGGAAUUGACGGAAGGGCACCACCAGGAGUGG